RNAcentral lists this long non-coding RNA (288 nucleotides) under Musa acuminata (dwarf banana). Its description in RNAcentral is "long non-coding RNA (MACU_LNC010813)". The record is from RNAcentral. Lineage: Eukaryota; Viridiplantae; Streptophyta; Magnoliopsida; Zingiberales; Musaceae.
GCUUAGUGGUCGGCCCAAUCUGAGUUCGGUAAAGAGCGUCCGAAUCUUAUCCUCCAUUCGUGCCUCCAAGGCUUCGAAUUUAGCAUUGAUUGCCUCCUUAGAUGCCAUAGUAUAUGCCUCCAAAUCAAUGAUGUUAAGAUCUCUCUUUUGUUGUUAGGUUAAAAGCAUGUAUAGGUUGAGAGAAGUGAUGGUCGAAAGAGUUGGUGGAUCGGUGGAUGUAGGCUACGAUUUAGGCUUGUUUUGUGGCAGUUUUGGGUGCAGUUUGAGGGUGUGGUUUAGUAGAGUUUU